AAAAGAACUCUGAAUAGAGAGUUAAAUAGUACGUGAAACUGCUUAGAGGUUAAACCCGAUGAACCUGAAUAUCCAAUAUAAAGAAUUCAUCAUUAAAUUAAUAAUUUUUAUUAUUAAGAUAGUGUGCAUUUUCUUUAUAUAAAUGGACAUUGUAAUCUAUUAAUAUAUAAUUUAUAUUUAUCAUAAGAUUAAUAGUUUAUGUUUAUUUUAUAUAAUAUAUUUUCGAAUUUAUUAUUAAAAUAAUUUCUAUUAAUUUGAUAAAGUAUUAAUAGAUUUAAUCAUAUGUAUAAUGCAUACAAUUUCUUUUAGAAAUUUUAUAAUAUUUAUAUUAUAAGCAUUUAUACGAUUUACAAUGCGAAAGAUUCAGGAUACCUUCGGGAC
RNAcentral lists this ribosomal RNA (381 nucleotides) under Phytomyza hirticornis. Its description in RNAcentral is "partial large subunit ribosomal RNA". The record is from RNAcentral. Lineage: Eukaryota; Metazoa; Arthropoda; Insecta; Diptera; Agromyzidae.